This is a long non-coding RNA of Tachysurus fulvidraco (yellow catfish), 579 nucleotides long. RefSeq lists it as uncharacterized. Lineage: Eukaryota; Metazoa; Chordata; Actinopteri; Siluriformes; Bagridae. The record is from RefSeq and is a predicted model, not a curated record. The transcript is spliced from 3 exons.
GGCGGCUCCGAUCCCACCUUCACCAGCGUGUUACGGGUUCUGGUCAAAGCUGAUGUGACCGAGCCCAUCACUGUAUACCGACACCGGCGCGCGCGAGUGAAAAACCUUCUACUUUAAACAGCCGACAUUCUGAUUCAGAGAGAGAUAAACGGAGGUACUGAUGCAGCGUUCAGGAGCGAACAACUUCUCCGGUGUUGUGCAGCCGAGUGCGUGACGUCACGACAACUUUGACGAUGGUGGAGUAUUUAUAGUUUCCAUUAGUUAUUUCACUCUGCUUAAUGACGGCAACCACAUGAGAACGUGUCGUAUUUGAGUGGAAACCCGGUGGGAAGAGCUGCAGUGUCUGGGGGAUUCUCAGGUCCAGGCCACAAACAAAAACAGCACCAAACACACAUGCUAAUAACGACACUAAUCACCAUCACUAUCACCCUCGACUGGCUCACGAGCUGCUCAAAUGUAAAGAAGAACAACAAUCUUCAGUCGUCUCAAGGUUCAGGUUGCUGCUACAGUAUGAAGAGAUUUUUCAGGAAGGAAAAAAGUCAGAACAAAGUUUUCAAAUAAAGUUUUGUGUAUUUGCAA